AAAGCUACUAAGGGCAUACGGUGGAUACCUUGGCAGUAGGAGGCGAUGAAAGACGUGGUUAAACUGCGAUAAGCUUCGGUGAGUUGUUAAACAUACUUUGACCCGGAGAUUUCUGAAUGGGGCGACCCUUUUGUAUGAGAAUGCAAAAACUCGCUGGUGAGUAAAGUAGCCAGUGUAGAGCUAACCGGGGGAACUGAAACAUCUAAGUACCCCGAGGAAGAGAAAUCAAUUGAGAUUCUGUCAGUAGCGGCGAGCGAACACAGAUUAGACCAAACCAGUAUGCGUGCAUACUGGGGUUGUAGGACCUGCAUCAAGCGGAGUUUGCUAAGAGAAGUGUCUGGGAAGUCACGCCAUAGAGAGUGAAAGCCUCGUAUCUGAAAGCGAACAAAGUGGGCGGGUAUCCUGAGUAGGACGGGACACGUGAAACCCUGUCUGAAUCUGGGAGGACCACCUUCCAAGUCUAAAUACUACCUACUGACCGAUAGUGUACCAGUACCGUGAGGGAAAGGUGAAAAGAACCCCGAUGAGGGGAGUGAAAUAGAUUCUUGAAACCGUAUGCUUACAAACAGUCAGAGGGCUAUUGUAAAGCCUGAUGGCGUACCUUUUGCAUUAUGAGCCGCCGAGUUACGGUGUGUAGCAAGAUUAAGCCGUUGAAGGUGUAGUCGUAGGGAAACCGAGUCUUAAUAGGGCGUUAGUUGCAUGCUGUAGACCCGAAACGGGAUGAGCUUACCAUGGGCAGGUUGAAGCGAGGGUAAAACUUCGUGGAGGACCGAACACAUAUAGGUUGAAAACUGUUGUGAUGACUUGUGGUAAGGGGUGAAAGGCCAAUCAAAUUCCGUGAUAGCUGGUUCUCCUCGAAAUGCAUUUAGGUGCAGCGUCUUUUGAUUACUACUGGGGGUAUAGCACUGAAUUGGCUAGGGGGUUUACCGAUCUACCAAACCAUAUCAAACUCAGAAUACCAGUAAGUACAGAAAGGCAGUGAGACUAUGGAUGCUAAGGUCCAUAGUCGAAAGGGAAAGAGCCCAGAUCGACAUCUAAGGUCCCCAAAUAAUAACUAAGUGGAAAAGGUUGUGGAACUACCUUGACAUCCAGGAGGUUGGCUUAGAAGCAGCCAUCCUUUAAAGAAAGCGUAAUAGCUCACUGGACUAGUGGUUCUGCGCCGAAAAUGUAACGGGGCUAAGUUAUUUACCGAAGAUUCGAACUAUAGCAAUAUAGUGGUAGAGGAGCAUUGUGUUUACCGAUGAAGGCAUACCGUAAGGAGUGUUGGAGGUCCCACAAGAGCUGAUGGUGGCAUAAGUAGCGAUAAGGAGGGCGAGAACCCCUCCCGCCGAAAAUCCAAGGGUUCCUAGGCCAGGUAACUCCGCCUAGGGUAAGCCGGUACCUAAGCCGAGGCUGAAAAGCGUAGGCGAUGGACAACGGGUUAAUAUUCCCGUGCUUGGUGUAUAACGUUUGACCGAAGGGGUGACGGAGAAAGGUAGCUGAUCAGGGCGUUUGGUUGUCCCUGUUUAAGCAAGUAGGCUGUGUUGUAGGCAAAUCCGCAACACGUGAAGGCUGAGAUGUGAUGACGAGUCGUAAGAUGAAGUCAGUGAUCCUAUGCUUCCAAGAAAAACCUCGUAGGGAGUUGUAUAUCAAUCCGUACCCCAAACCGACACAGGUGGAUGGGAUGAGAAUUCUAAGGCGAUUGGACGAACUCUUGUUAAGGAACUCUGCAAAAUGGUGCCGUAACUUCGGGAGAAGGCACGCCAAUGCUGGUGUAGUCACUUGCUGACGAAGCUGGUAUUGGCCGCAGUGAAAAGGGGGUAGCGACUGUUUAUCAAAAACAUAGGUCUAUGCAAACACGUAAGUGGAAGUAUAUGGACUGACGCCUGCCCGGUGCUCGAAGGUUAAGAGGUGAGGUUAGAUCAUUCGUGAUCGAAGCUUUGAAUCGAAGCCCGAGUAAACGGCGGCCGUAACUAUAACGGUCCUAAGGUAGCGAAAUUCCUAGUCGGGUAAGUUCCGACCUGCACGAAUGGCGUAACGACUUCCCCACUGUCUCAACAAGAGGUCCAGCGAAAUUGGUGAGCGCGUGAAGAAACGCGCUACCCGCGGAAGGACGAAAAGACCCCGUGAACCUUUACUGUAACUUGGCAUUGGGUUUCGAUUAACGAUGCGUAGGAUAGGUGGGAGAUGUUGAUCUGUGCGUUCCGGCGUACAGGGAGUCAUCCUUGAAAUACCACCCUUCGUUAAUUGGAAUCCUAACCUACGGUCGUAAUCCGGCCGGGGGACAAUGUCUGGUGGGCAGUUUGACUGGGGCGGUCGCCUCCUAAAGAGUAACGGAGGCGCGCUAAGGUUCCCUCAGGCUGAAUGGAAACCAGCCGUAGAGUGUAAACGUAUAAGGGAGCUUGACUGCGAGACAUACACGUCGAGCAGGUGCGAAAGCAGGCGUUAGUGAUCCGGUGGUUCCGAGUGGAAGGGCCAUCGCUCAACGGAUAAAAGGUACUCCGGGGAUAACAGGCUGAUCUCCUCCAAGAGCUCACAUCGACGAGGAGGUUUGGCACCUCGAUGUCGGCUCAUCGCAUCCUGGGGCUGGAGCAGGUCCCAAGGGUUUGACUGUUCGUCAAUUAAAGCGGUACGCGAGCUGGGUUCAGAACGUCGUGAGACAGUUCGGUCUCUAUCCUCCGUGGGCGUAAGAUAUUUGAGAAGAGCUGACCUUAGUACGAGAGGACCGGGUUGGACGAACCUAUGGUGUACCAGUUGUCACGCCAGUGGCACCGCUGGGUAGCUAAGUUCGGAAAGGAUAACCACUGAAAGCAUCUAAGUGGGAAGCCCCCUUCAAGAUAAGAUAUCUAUUAAGUGUGGUUGUAGACUACGACCUUGAUAGGCAGGAUGUGUAAGCACUGUAAAGUGUUAAGCUGACCUGUACUAAAUACACGUUUUGCUUU
RNAcentral lists this ribosomal RNA (2921 nucleotides) under marine eukaryotic metagenome. RNAcentral's name for it is "Bacterial large subunit ribosomal RNA". It matches the Rfam family "Bacterial large subunit ribosomal RNA". The record is from RNAcentral.